ACAAACUUGGUCAUUUAGAGGAAGUAAAAGUCGUAACAAGGUAACCGUAGGUGAACCUGCGGUUGGAUCAUUAUUGAAAUCCAAAACUCUUAGAGGGGCGGAUAGAUUUCCUAUACGGAGUCUUGAAGUCACUCGACACCCCAAAACCUUUACCGCUUUUCUUUAACAGGAAAAGCGAGUGAACCUUUUUUUUCCUUCUCCUUAUACUGCCCCUUUCCUUGUUUCUCGUAAAGAGCAAACAGUGAAGAAGUUGUUGUGAGGAGUAAGGAAAAAAACCCUAGAUAAACUUUUGUUUUGUUAUUUUUUUCUGUUUUCCUUGAGAAAUCAAAGAAAAAAAACAACUUUUGACAAUGGAUCUCUAGGCUCUCGCAUCGAUGAAGAACGCAGC
RNAcentral lists this unclassified non-coding RNA (388 nucleotides) under uncultured fungus. Its description in RNAcentral is "partial contains small subunit ribosomal RNA, internal transcribed spacer 1, and 5.8S ribosomal RNA". The stretch from base 1 to 73 matches the Rfam family "Eukaryotic small subunit ribosomal RNA", at positions 1759 to 1831 of the family's 1831-position model. Lineage: Eukaryota; Fungi. The record is from RNAcentral.